This 400-nucleotide ribosomal RNA is filed under the name uncultured bacterium. RNAcentral describes it as "bacterial SSU rRNA". It matches the Rfam family "Bacterial small subunit ribosomal RNA", at positions 355 to 747 of the family's 1533-position model. The record is from RNAcentral.
UGGGGAAUUUUGGACAAUGGGGGGAACCCUGAUCCAGCAACGCCGCGUGAAUGAAGAAGGCCUUCGGGUUGUAAAGUUCUUUUGUCGCAGAGCAAAGGCUAUAUGCUAAUACCAUAUAGUGUUGAGAGUAUGCGAAGAAUAAGCACCGGCUAACUACGUGCCAGCAGCCGCGGUAAUACGUAGGGUGCGAGCGUUAAUCGGAAUUACUGGGCGUAAAGGGUGCGCAGGCGGAUAGUUAAGUUAGGAGUGAAAUCCCCGGGCUCAACCUGGGAAUAGCUUUUAAGACUGGCUAUCUAGAGUUUGUCAGAGGGGGGUGGAAUUCCAAGUGUAGCAGUGAAAUGCGUAGAGAUUUGGAGGAACACCAAUGGCGAAGGCAGCCCCCUGGGAUAAAACUGACGCU